UGUCAUGUGAGUUGCAGGCUAUUCUGUCUCAGGUUUUAUACUUGACCAGAAAGACAGGGAAUGAGGAUCCCCACAGCUCAGGAUUCUUCCCCAGGAGAUGCUCCCAGCCCAGGAUUAAAGCCAAAGGGAAGAUAUAGAGGGGUGGAGAACAGGUAGGGGAUCUGUUCCUGAUCUUCCCGAGAGCACAUCUGUCUGAGAGACCUCAUAUCCAACCUUCCUCUUGGACCUAAUGCAUUUGCUAGACAGCAGCUAGGACCAGUCCUAGCAGAGUGAGACUUUUGGGCAGGUUGUCCACAGUUCAUUCAGUUGAAUGAGCAGGAGGGUCCCCAAACACAGUAGGAAUGGCUUGCCACAUUUUGAAGUAAAUACACCCAGUGAAGUAAUAGCCAACUAUCAGACUCCCUUUCAGGGAGAGUCCUCUGAGUCCCAGCACAUUCGCUUAUUUCAAAGCCCAACGGGCAGGACCCUAAGUCCCGAAAGGUGGGGAGAAGGACCCUUCUUUUUACAGAAUUCCUGUUGGCUAUGUUUUUAAAUGUUUUCAAAAGCCAGUGUGGUGUACUGGUUAAGAGCGGUGGACUCCUAAUCUGGUGAGCCACAUGCAGCUGCUGGGUGACCUUGGACUAGUCACACUUCUCUGAAGUCUCUCAGCCUCACUCACCUCACAAAGUGUUUGUUGUGGGGAAGUAAGGGAAAAGGAGAUUGUUAGCCGCUUUGAGACUCCUUAGGAUAGUGAUAAAGCGGGAUAUCAAACCCAAACUCUUCUUCUUCAUCAUCUCCCUUCCUCACCAUCAGCCUGCUUAUUCUUUCUGGCCAUUUUGCUUCCAAGUUGGCAGCAUCUAGCUCUUUACCUCUCUGCUUUGCUCCGGAGAAGGGCUGUGGAUGUCCUUCCUCAGACUGAGACAUUCUGGGCAAGGUAGCCAGGAGAGGAUCUGCGCCACUGUUGCUUCGCCAUGGCGGCUACAGGUUUUGCAUAAGCUGAUGCAAAGAUAUACAGUUGGAUUGGUAUUUAUUCAAUGCCCCCUGCUAAACCCACAAGGUAGUCCACCUAUCUUGCAAGAUUCUUAUAAAGAGAUGAGCAGACACGGCGACCCAUCCAGCUUAUGUGGCACAGGGUGGGAGGAAUUAAUCAGAAUAAAUACAGAGCUGCAUAAAUCCUGCGCCUAUGUACUGUGUUGCACCUGGAACUAGAGCCAGACCCACAGCGCAUAUGCUGUGAUUUGCAUCUGACUUGCCCAUGCUGCAGGUCUAGCCCAGCAGGUGCCGUCUGCUUGUUGACAGGUGUGAUGUGCAGCCCAAUUACACAGGCCUGUCGGGCAUGAGUGAAAUGCAAUUCAAAAUAACAUGAGGAGACAAGAUGGACUUCACAUCAUGGUUUUCCAGUCUAAUUAGCUGUCUUAUCGGGGCUGUUGGGUUUGUUGUUGUGGUGGUUUUUUGAUCUUGCAAUUCAUCCAAGGACUUUACAGCAGCAUAUAUGUUGCCCCCUUUAUCCUCGUGAAAAGCCUGUAAAGUUCAGACCCUCCAAGUGUCCCUAUUUUCCAGAGACAGUCCCAGAUUUACAGAAGCCAUCCCAGUUGUUGUUUUUAUCCCAGAAUGUCCUGCUUUUCCUUGGGAUGUCCGUACUUUCAUCAGAGAAAUAUCGGAGGGUAUGGAGUUAUGCGACCCCCAAGUCAAGGAGAUAAGCGACUAUACAUCUGAAGGCAGCCCUGUAUAGGGAAGUUUUUUAGUGUUUAAUGGUUUAUUAUUAUUAUUAUUAUUAUUAUUAUUAUUAAUUUAUUACUUAUACACCGCCCAUCUGGCCAUGUCUCGCUAGUCACUCUGGGCAGCUUCCAACAGGAUAUUAAAAACACAAUAAAACAUCAAACACUAAAAACUUCCCUAAACAGCACUGCCUUCAGAUGUCUUCUAAAAGUCAGGUAGUUGUUUAUUUUCUUGACAUCUGGUGGGAGGGCAUUCCACAGGGCGGGUGCCACUACCAAGAAGGCCCUCUGCCUGCUUCCCUGUAACUUCGCUUCUUGGAAUGAGGGAACAACCAGAAGGCCCUCGGCGCUGGAUCUCAGUGUUGAAAGCUGCCAAGAGUGGCCGGGGUAACCCAGUCAGAUGGGCAUAUUAUAUAAAUAAUAUAAUUAUUAUUACUAUGGAAUAGGACUUCCCUAUUUUCGAGAGUCCCAUGGACUGCAAGAAGAUCAGACCUAUCCAUUCUGAAGGAAAUCAGCCCUGAGUGCUCACUAGAAGGACAGAUCCUGAAGCUGAGGCUCCAAUACUUUGGCCACCUCAUGAGAAGAGAAGACUCCCUGGAAAAGACCCUGAUGUUGGGAAAGAUUGAGGGCACAAGGAGAAGGGGACGACAGAGGACAAGAUGGUUGGACAGUGUUCUCAAAGCUACCAGCAUGAGUUUGACCAAACUGGGGGAGUGCCUGGCGUGCUCUGGUCCAUGGGGUCAUGAAGAGUCGGACACGACUAAACGACUAAACAACAACAAUUUUCAUCAGAGAAAUGUCAGAGGGUGUGAAAGUGUAUGGAGGACUUCCGGGUUGGCGUCUCCAGGCAAUGGCGGAGUUCCUCCGAUCGGGAGGAAUUUGCUCCGUGGAAAUUAGGGUCUGACCGCCACGGCGAAGGCAGAGACCCACUGAAAUCACAGGCGGGAGAAGCCUGUGAACUUGGGAUUCGGCUGGCGCCCUUUGCGCCUCCCCUACUCGCGGGGAAACCCUGAUUUGGGGAUCCGGAGCGAAGUGGGGUGAGCGGCGCGGUGCUUCAAAUUGACUGCUUCUUUCACGGAGUGAAGCCGCAUCGCUGUUGCCGGAGAGCGCUGACUUUUUCCUGUGGACAAUUGGAUUUUAAACAACUACCUGUGAGUAGAACGGAAAAUUAAAUUCAUUAAUUUGGCAUCGAAACGGGAAGGUUUUAAACAGGAAGUCCGCCUUCCUUUUUUGUAAACAGAUUGAAGCAAAGAAGUUGCAAGUUAAAGCCUUGGAAAGUUUAUUUUUGUAAAUGAUUAAAUCUCCAUCGGUUAAAACUAUUAAACCCCCCUUGGAAACAGGAGAAGAGGGGGGAAAUUUUGGACCUAGUGAGCCUGCAGGAGAGAGUGAAAAACCAAAUUACCACUGCUCCAAACCUGGAAACGGGCUGCCAGAAAGAGUGACUUUUUUGACAGCUAGCUAAAUAAGAGAAAUAUAUUGUUUCCAUUGUCCUCAUCUGCGUUUAAAAAGUAGGAAAAGUAACUGAAAACUGAAACUAACUUUAUAGUUUAAAUUGUGUUUGAAAGGAUUGAUACAAAUGGAGACUGUUUCCCUCUAGAGGGAGCUUUUGAAACUGUUACAAGAGUGGAGCUGGGGUUUUUCCAGCUGCAAGAUAAGAACUGUGUGAAAUAGAUAUUGACCUUGGAUUUUAAGAAUGUUGACAGAAGGAGCCUUAGUGACUGUAUUAUGUAAGAUAAGCUAUUCGUUGGAACAGCUCCACAAGAAGACGGAUGCUAUGAAUACCAAACUUGAGAACUUGGGACAAAAAGUGAUUAAUUUGGAACAAAAAUUGACCAUUAAUACAGAAAUUGUUCAGGAUUUGACACAGGAACCUACUUUGACAGGACAAACUGGGGAGAAGAUGAAGGAGAAUGUUGGUGUUGUUGAACCUAAAAUAAUACAAGUGGAAGCCCCAGUUUUACAGAGGUAAAUUGAGGACUAUAAGUGGAGGCCUUUUAGGAAUGAAUAUAGAAAAAGUCAGAAUUUGAAGAUUAGAGCCCUGCUUGGAAUGGAGAAGGAAUGUUGGAUAGACUCUUUCAUGCAGAGAUUUACUGACCUUUGGGUCCUGAAUCUGGGUCAGGAGAUGAUUGGAGUUGUGGGGGCCUUUGGAUCUGGAGGAGCCUUGAAACAUGAUUUGAGAUAUUGUAUGGACAUUGGUUUUAGCUGCGGAAAGUUGGUUGGUCUGUCGAGAGGGAAUGGGGGCAUGGUUGGGUCGGGGCCCACCCAAGACCUGCGCUUCAGCACCUUCAGCAUCAAAGAAUAUGAAGAAAAACUGCAGAAGGGACUUGGAAAAGAUUUAAGAGCCUCGGACAGAAGAUCUCCAGGUUGAUGAACUAUAUGGAAUGGACGGAAAUGACUGGAAGAAUCCGAGACCAGGGAGAAGAGAUGGUGGUAGAAGAUUGGGAAAGUUUAAAGUUUAUAUAUAUAAAUAUUGUAAAUUUAAUGAGUGUUAGAAAAUUGUUGGAAUGAAACUUUAUGGCUUUAGCAGAAAUGUUAUAAGGAGUUAGGUAUAAAUAUUUCAGUAUUAAUGGAAAAUAAGGUUAAAAAUAUGUUAAGAUAUUCAUAAUGAUAAAAAUAGAGAAAGAUGGAAAGGAAUUGCUGAAACAAGUAAUAGAAGUGGAAUACAAAAAGGGAGGUGAGAUGAAAUAAGGGAAUGAAAGAUAGAGUAAUGAAAUGGUAUGGUAUAUGUUUUUAAAUUGUUGUUUUGCUUUGUUUAGUUUAGUGUGUUAAGGUUGUGUUUUGUAUUGUUUAUUGUAUUGUUUUUUCUUUUCUCUCUUUUUCCCCCUUCUCUGCUCUAUUUUGUCUUUCUCUCUGGUCCAUGGGGUCAUGAAGAGUCGGACACGACUAAACGACUAAACGACUAAACAACAACAAUUUUCAUCAGAGAAAUGUCAGAGGGUAUGAAAGUGUAUGGAGGGAUGCGGGUGGCGCUGUGGGUUAAACCACAGAGCCUAGGACUUGCUGAUCAGAAGGUUGGUGGUUCGAAUUCCCGUGGCGGGGUGAGCUCCCGUUGCUCGGUCCCUGCUCCUGCCAACCUAGCAGUUCUGCAAGUAGAUAAAUAGAUACCACUCUGGCGGGAAGGUAAACAGCGUUUCUGUGUGCUGCUCUGGUUCGCCAGAAGCGGCUUAUGAAAGUGUAUUAGGGUUAAGAACCCCUGACAGGUGUUAGAUCACUUGCAAAGUAUUGUAGCUGCCUGUGAUUUGAACUAGGACUGUGUAGCAGAUUCACCCAAAGCCCAAAUUUGAUCUGGCUGAUUUGGCCAGAUUGCUGCAGGUCAGGCCACCCAGAGUGACCCAGAGUCAUCAGGAGCAGGGGAUUGGGAUCCUUCUGUACUCAUGGGAAAAUAUUGUGCUUCAAAAUGUAUGAUACAGUGCCAUUUCUGUGCAAUGCUGUAUACUACACCAUCUCCUUUAGAGCAGGAACAAGCAAUUCAACUUUCAUGGUAUCGUGUACAUGUCAGAUUACUCAUUUCACAUGAGCCAUAUUCAUGAGCAUCCCAUAACCGCACCCACCACAUUAAAUUCCUUUUGGCACAAUAAGCAUUAAUAUAGAAGGGGCUUCUAUAUGUUUUAUAUGUAUGUUCAUGAAUGAGACUCUGUGAAGUAGAUAAACUACGGGUCGAGUGGGAUGACCGGAAGUGAUUUAAUUAAAAGACAAUUUAAUAGCAGCUUCCAGCUAGUCCCUCUUAUUUUCUGCAGUUUGAUGGUGUGAUCCUGCCAUUGCUCUGUCAAUAGCUGGUAUCCACCACCCAACACAAGCCAACAAGGCUCAUUUAAGCAAUUUUUACUAGCCAUCAAUACUCACUAAAGAACCACCUCUAGCUAUUAACCAGACCAAGGCCCAGGUCUGUCUUGUUUUGCAAGGUCAUAAGACUGCACAGUUGUAUCUCCAUUAAGUCCUCUGUACCUCCAUUAAGUCCGCCCACCAAACUGCUGUAUUCCAAGUUUCUGUCUCCGACUCGGUAACCAAGACUUGCAUGUUUUUCUCAUGUUCAGACACAACUCCAAGCCAAGCUCCAUUCCCAGAUUUCUUUCUCUCUUAAAUACAACUAUGGCUCCUUAAUGCCAUUUGCUAUUCUUGUCUCAAACUGGGUCAGGACAAGACAUCAAAUAAAAGCAAAUUAUAUGGUUUCAGCAUGCAAUUUUCAUUGUUGCUGCUCCGCUGACUCUUGGAGUUUUCCACCUUCUCCCAUCAAAUCUCUUGACCAUUAUUGGUCCAUGAAACAAGGUGGCAAAAUAGUUUUCUCUUUGCAGUUCGCUUAGCAGCUACUAAUUCACCUUUGCUUUAACGAGUCACAUGACGCAAUCCCAUUUUGGUUAUUUCGAAUCAUGUCGUUACAUGGGCUAAUUAAGUAAUAAGACACAACAGGGCAUGGGUUUAUUGUGUAAUAUUUUAUGCCAAGGUGUAUAUUCACUCUACUUGGGUGUGAGUGAUUACACAAUAAUUUAAGCAUCAAAAGGCUCAGGUUGCAAUUUUAAAGACAAUAUUAAUUUUUAAAAAAAUAUUUAAUUUGGGAGUCGAUGAAUGGGCUGCAGGACCUUUUAAAAAAAUCAUUUUUGCUGAAAGUAACAUAAAAAGAGAAUGCUCACUUUUCCUUCCCAAAGCACUGAAUUCAAUGCAGUCCAGACCAGACAAGAUGGCUCUCAUGGCAAAGAGAUUACACUUUUACGGUUACAUCCAGUAUAACAGAGCAUCUGUCUCCAGAUGUUAGGAAUGCUACAAUUAUCAGAGAGCUCACAAAUUUUGGCACCUGUGACUAUUUGAACUAUAAAUUGGGUUUAUGGAUGUGAAUAAUUUCCUUUCAUCAUAUAAUGGAGGAACUCCGUAGCUCAGAGGUGGGAAACCUGUGGCCCUCUGAUGUUGUUGGACUUCAACUCCCAUCAACCCUGAUCAUUAGCUGUGCUGAUUGGGGAUGAUGGGAGUUGGAGUCCAAUAACAUGUAGAGGGUCCAAUGAAUCCUGGAAGGCCACAGUUCCUCUUUCCUGUCAUAGUCGGUGAGCAAUUCAUAACUGGCGUCUUGUCCAGUGCAUUGUUUAUGAACACUGGAGAUUUUGAGGAUUAGAAAUGGGGGAAAAGGAAGUAAGGAUUAGAAAUACAUAAGAAAGGCAACUCACCAUUGGAACCCUUUGUGGAUUUAGGGGAGUGCAACUGGUUUGCUGGAAGGGGACAAAUUUUGGCGUCACGCAGAGCGCUGCAGAAAUUUCUGCCACUGUUAACCCUCAUAAACAACGACAAGAAAGAGUAUACAAAGACAUUCUGAGCUCAUUUUAACAGGGUAUUUGAAUGUUCCAAAACAAAUCCAUGUGUGUGGUGUCAGAAGAAAAGUCCUUAUAGCUAGCACAAUGCUACUACGAAGUAAGACCUGUUGAAUUCAGUACUGCUUACACCCAGGAAAGUGAUUAUGAGUGUAGCAAGUUUGCUUCUGUAGAUCGGUUUUAGGGGGUUUUUUUGGUGGAGGGACCCAUCCCCUGGUGUUGGGAUACUGCCAGGGAGAUGAAGUCCAUCAUGGCCCCCAAGCCGGCUGCCGGACAAUCCAUCGACCUCCCGUAGUCACGCAGUAUCAGCAAUUAGCGACAUGAGCUCCAGAACAUUCUAGAGCCGAUGCACACUCUUUAUCAGCAGAUAAUGCACAGCAGAAGUCGCACUCAGGAGAGCAUUAUUUAUAAGUUUUAUUCAGCGUUGAUCAGAACAAAGAAAACCAUGACUGCCUGCAUCGAUGUCUCCAGACACAGAGAGAAACGAAAGCAAUAGCAAACAUAAACAUCCUGUGAACAGGACAUGCGCAGACUCUGACCCACAAAGCCUGCUCCCUUUUAAGGUGGAACGGAAAUAUCCUAACAGAGGGACCCAUAGUACAGUGGUACCAUGGGUAACAGACGCUUCAGGUUACAGACUCCACUAACCCAGAAAUAGUACCUUGGGUUAAGAACUUUGCUUCAGGAUGAGAACAGAAAUCGUGCAGCGGCGGCAUGGCGGCAGCGGGAGGCCCCAUUAGCUAAAGUGGUGCUUCAGGUUAAGAACAGUUUCAGGUUAAGAACGGACCUCCAGAAUGAAUUAUCGUAUUUUUCGCUCUAUAAGACGCACCAGACCACAAGACGCACCUAGUUUUUGGAGGAGGAAAACAAGAAAAAAAAUUAUUCUGAAUCUCAGAAGCCAGAACAGCAAGAGGGAUCGCUGCACCCUCUUGCUGUUCUGGCUUCUGAGAUAGCUGCGCAGCCUGCAUUCGCUCCAUAAGACACACACACAUUUCCCCUUACUUUUUAGGAGGGAAAAGGUGAGUCUUAUAGAGCAAAAAAUACGGUAAGCUCUUAACCCGAGGUACCACUGUAUAUUGUUUUACUCCAAUGUUUUCCAUUGGCACACACACACACACACACACACACACACACACACACACACACUUCAACAACAAAAAUCAAUAGAUUUUUUGGACUAUUUUGUGUCCUGGCUCAUUUUUGCUUUCAGGGAAGCACCAUAGCUGAGUGGGAGAGCAUCUGUUUGGCACACUGAUGUUCCCAGGGUUCAGUGCAAGCGACUCCAGGUAAAUCUGAGAGAGAACCAUGUCUGAAAUCUUGGAGCACUGCUGCCAGCCAGUGUCAUACAAUAGUGAGCUAGUUGGACCAAUGGUCUGAUUCAGUACAAGGCAGCUCCUUAAUUCCAUAUGGGCACCUAAAUGUAUCGCGAUGCUGGGAAAUUGGCACUUUUGAAAUGCAUUCAAUUCGCAUGAGCAUCUGUUUUGCACAAAUUCCCGUUGGCUACACCAAUAUUAUAUUUCUUCCUUUGAGUUUGAAAGUAUCAGCCAGGAUAUGUUAUCAUCCUUCCUGCUCUGCCCUGAUUCUGUUCUUCCAAGUGGCAUUUGACUCAGUGCAGUGUGUGUGUGUGUACUUGGUUGGGCUGGGCUGCAAGCCAAAUUCUUGGAUGACAGAGGCCUCCAUGGGCGUCUGCUAUGUUGAUGGCAUAAGAGACUCGGGAGACAAUUUGAUGAGUCUCUCUCUUUGCCCCCAUUCAACCUCACAUUCUUUCUCUGACUCAGAUAUUCAAGCAUCACCGACUCCUGAAUGUCGGGGAUAAGCAAAGGAGACUCAUGAAUUACCCAUGGCAUGAAACCAUCGUUGGGUAAAGAUCAAUCCGCAGCCACACAAGGGACUGGUGGCUCAUUGUUCUGAGAAGCGGAGUUGAGGUGAAGAAACAAGACACAAGGGAGAGCAGCAGGAGAGGCAUUUGCCAAAGCCACUCCUUACUAGGGGUGCAUGUUACUAGCAGUGCAUGUUACUGUUGCUUCAAGGCCAACUGAGGAGCAGUAAGAGAGACACUGCAAUUCUCUGCACUUCAAUGGGAUUGCAUGGCAACCUAUGUAUAUCAUUUAUUUAAACUGCUGAUCUUCUCCAUCUUUAAUGCUCAAGGAAACUUAGAGGUGCAACCAACUAAGUUAUUCUCAAAUGAACAGGACUAACUUGGGUCCAUAAAUUUCAGUGGGUCUGCCCUGAGUAGGAUAACCCUCAGCUGCGCUGCCUGCUCUUAUGAUUGCUCUUAUGAUUGCCAGCUUGCUUCAACUGCAGUGGUACCUCGGGUUACAUACGCUUCAGGUUACAGACUCCACUAACCCAGAAAUAGUCCCUCGGG
This is a non-coding RNA of Podarcis lilfordi (Lilford's wall lizard), 9359 nucleotides long. NCBI's taxonomy places the organism in Eukaryota, Metazoa, Chordata, Lepidosauria, Squamata, Lacertidae. The record is from the annotation of a GenBank genome assembly.